Gopherus flavomarginatus (Mexican gopher tortoise) is the source of this 3530-nucleotide RNA transcript. It is a transcript of the gene named myb/SANT-like DNA-binding domain-containing protein 2, with no coding region annotated. NCBI's taxonomy places the organism in Eukaryota, Metazoa, Chordata, Testudines, Testudinidae. The transcript is spliced from 3 exons. The record is from RefSeq and is a predicted model, not a curated record.
ACCUUUUUCAGUGGUGUACUCUUUGAUAGAGCAUGCUCUGUUCAUUCCUAAACAGCCAGGACGGGAGGCUCCUCAUCAGAUUAGAAUUCCAACAGACUUUCCUCACUGUUUCCAAAUUAAUCUGCUAUUGCUGAAAAUAAUUUCCUGAGCGAUAGGUAAGAACAUGAAAUGGACUGCGUAUUAUCGAGCUGCUGCAAUGGAGCAGUAAUUGAAAACUUUAUCUAGCCUGGGCUUCAAGUCUGUACACCUCAGCUUCUAUUUAGUUAUUGCAUCAGUGUUUGGAGAGAGCACCACAUUUAACCUUUUAAAUUGCACAAAUAAGUUUUCCUUAUUCAAUGGUUUCUAUUAACCUUUCAGAACUGAUGGGUUAAAAAAUACAGCAUUAGCAUAGUUAGCCUUUGAAAAUAGUAAUGAUGUGGUGUGAAUGCCUUUCUCUUCCCUGCUUCUCACUGACAAACAAAAAAACCCUCUUGCCUAGUAUGUAUUAGAGUUUUCAUUGGAUUAUUUUCUGUAGAGAUCUCUGCUCUAUAGGAUGCAUGUGCACGCCUGGUGUUACAUUGGAACACUUUAGAAUACAGCAAAUAUUGAGAUUGUAUGCGUAUUCUCUUGUGGUUUUGACCAUUGAGUCCCAUAGGUUGUAAAAGGAACUACAGUUCCCACCCAUCUCUUUCUUUUCUCUUUGUAGAUUGAGGGUCAAAUCCUUUGUUCUCUCUGGGCUUCUUUUGGCUUGUUCAGUUAGUGUCAUCACAAAUAGUUAAUGUUUGUGUAGCUGUUAAUUUUUAUGGCAAGUUAAUUGGUUCUCCAUGUUAUUCUUUGGCUUGAUACAGUAGGCAUCUGGUUUGGUAUGGCUUUGUCAGCUUCUGUUCUUUUGAUUCUGUUUAUUUCCAUUGUCAUAGUGGCUGGGUCUGAGAAGAAUCUGAGUUUGAAGUAAUGUACAUUGUAUGAAGCAAAUAUUUUUUUGUAUUCAGACCAGUGUAUCCAGUUCGUGGGUGAGUGAUGCUCCCCACAGAGCAUAUACUUUAUGCAGAUUUCCGCCACUUCCCCUCCCAAAAUACUCAAGAGUGAGAGUCCCACCUCUAUGUGUUGAAGAAAGUCCGACAGGUUAAUCUGAUUUUAGCUUAAAUGUGUUAAUGAAUAGGAGUCUGGAACAUCUUCAGAGUCUAAAGAUGCCUAGAAGUCCAACUCUGAGAAAUCACUGGGUUCAAGAAUGCCUCAAGGACGUGAGUGCCCAUUAGGCUCAGGCCUGGUCUACACUACGCGUUUAAACCAAAUUUAGCAACAUUAAACUGAUUUAACCCUGCAGCCGUCCACACAACGAGGCCCUUUAUAUUGAUAUAAAGGACUCUUAAAACCGGUUUCUGUACUCCUCCCCGACGACAGGAGUAGCGCUGAAAUCAGUAUUGCAAUGUAGGAUUAGGGUUAGUGAGGCCGCAAAUCGACGGUAUUGGCCUCCGUGAGGUAUCCCACAGUGCACCAUUGUGACCGCUCUGGAAAGCCAUCUGAACUUGGAGGCACUGGCCAGGUAGACAGGAAAAGCCUCACAAACUUUUGAAUUUCAUUUCCUGUUUGGCCAGCGUGGAGAGCUCUCCAGCACAGGUGACCACACAGAGCUCAUCAGCUUAAGUAACAAUGCAGUCUCCUGAGAAUCGAAAAAGAGCUCCAGCAUGGACCGCACUGGAGGUACUGGAUCUGAUCGCUAUAUGGGGAGAGGAUUCAGUGCUAACAGAACUCCGUUCCAAAAGACGAAAUGAAAAACCAUUUGAAAAAAUUUCCAAGGCCAUGAUGCAGAGAGGCCACAGAAGGGACUCAGUACAGUGCCGUGUGAAAGUUAAGGAGCUCAGACAAGCCUACCAGAAAACCAAAGAAGCAAACGGAAGGUCCAGGGCAGGGCCGAAAACAUGCCGCUUCUACGCUGAGCUGCGUGCAAUUCUAGGGGUGUCCGCCACCAGUUCCCCACCCCUGUCUGUGGAUUCCGAGGUGGGGGUGGUAAUCUCAGCCAUGGCUGAGGAUUCUACGGACGGGGAAGAUGAGGAGGAGGAAGAGGAGAACGAGCUUGCAGAGAGCACACAGCACUCCGUUCUCCCCAACAGCCAGGAACUUUUUCUCACCCUGACAGAAUUACCCUCCCAGCCCUCCCAAGCCACUAGCCCAGACAAUGAAGCCAUGGAAGCGACCUCUGCUGCACAUUUUUCAAGCCUCCCUACUCCAUCCCGAAGGCUAUCUCAGAUAAGGCGGCGGAAAAAAAAGAUGCGAAAUGAAAUGUUCUCGGAAAUCAUGGAAGUGACCUGCAAUGAAAGAGCUCAUCUGAAUGAGUGGAAGGACGUGAUAUCAAAUUACAGGAAAGAUGCCAGUGAACGUUAGGACAGAAGGGACCAACAUGAGGACAGGAGGGAUGCUCAAGAUGAGAGGUGACGGCAGGAAGAUCAGAGGUGUAGGCAGGAAGAUCAGUGGUGGCGGGAUGCAACGCUGGGGCUGUUGCGUGAUCAAACUGACAUCCUCUGACGUCUGGUGGAGCUUCAGGAACAGCAGCAGGAUCACAGAGUGCCACUGCAGCCCCUUUGUAACCACCCUAACCAUGUUGCAUAUCCUCCUCACCCAGACAUGCACAGGGAUCUCAACCCAGAAUUCCAAGGGGCAGGAGAGACUGCAGGAACUAUGGGAUAGCUACCCACAGUGCAACGCUCAGGAAAUCGACACUAGCCUCAGUACAUGGACGUACACCGCCGAAUUAAUGUGCUUAGUGUGGCCGCGUGCACUCGACUUUAUACAAUCUGUUUUACAAAACCGGUUUAUGUAAAAUCGGAAUAAUCCCAUAGUGUAGAUGUACCCUCAGAUACCACUAUUCCCUCUCUUGGAAGGAAGAUGUUUCUCUUGGUCCUUUAUAGAUUCAUGAAAUAAGUUAUGGAGGCUUUGACCUCUCUGAAGAUCAAGCUAGGAUGCAGUUUAAGGUCUGCUCCAGUGUUCUGAAACCUGUCAGGCAUCUAUGCAAAAUCCUUCUGAAAUAAUCAUAAGAAAUCCACAUGGCCUUGGACCUGUUGGCCCAGCAGUCUCAAUCCUUUUCCUCUGUAUGAAGGAUAAAGAAGAAACAGAGAAUAAUCAUUCAAGUAGCUGCUGCUUCCUCCUCUUCAACUGAUGAGUCUGUGCAUACAUACCAUCCUUUUAUGUCUCCAUUUGAUGACUUUAGGAAGUUUCAGGAGUUAUUGAGCAGAAUGGCAGAGGAGUUGUAUAUUUUAAAUUUGGAUAAUCCAUGGAACGUCAUCUCACUACUUGUAUACUAUUAUUCAGCUCCAGCAGAACACAGCAGCUAUCCCCUUAUUCCUUCUGAGAACCUCUAACUACCAUCCACCUCUAUCCCGCAGACGUUUAACCCUGCCGAUAAUCACCAAAUCCCAAAACUCUUCAGUUAAUUAGAAAACAAAGCAAAGAAGGGUUAACCCAUCAUGAUCAGAAUGUUGGGGAAGUAAUUGUAUUCCUCUGCUGUGCUUCAGAAAAGAAUAAGGAUUCAUCAAGUGAUAUUUGAACAGUAAAAU